GCCGCUGCUAGCUCUUUAUCGCCGUCCUUAUUUUGUUUUGUUUUGUUUAUGUUUUUACUGUUCGUUCCCCAGUGGACCAGCUGCUGCUCUCCUUUGAACACCUGCACGAUUUUGGAUUGUUUGCUAACCUGCGAUGAUAGUAACACAGAAAGGAGCCGAGGCCAGCGACUGGAGCAAGAUGUCAAGCCAGAGGUCGGCCUCGUCUGCGCAUGCGUCCCGCAGGCCUAGCGCCGACGCAGACUCCCGAUCCGCCACUCCCGCGCAGGUGCAGGUGACCGUGCAGGUGGGCACGCGGUGGGACACCUACACC
Penaeus indicus is the source of this 310-nucleotide long non-coding RNA. RefSeq lists it as uncharacterized. The record is from RefSeq and is a predicted model, not a curated record. NCBI's taxonomy places the organism in Eukaryota, Metazoa, Arthropoda, Malacostraca, Decapoda, Penaeidae. The transcript is spliced from 3 exons.